GGUGGCAGGAGUAGAAGCUGGUACGGUGGUUGGCUCGAUAGCCGCGGCGACGGAGGCUUCAGUGACAUUUUUGCCUUUAGGCGCAGCAGCAGUGGUGGGCUGAGCGCCAGGGUUGGAUGUGCCGGCGCCGGAGGAGGCUUUGACCAAUCUUCUCCUCUUGGGAGCUUUGGUGCUCUCGGCUUAGUUCUCAGCACCGCCCCGUUUUUUCACGUCGCCCUCAGUGUUGAACUUUGGGGAAAAGCGAGCCAUUCUCCUCUCGUGGGCCUUCAGGAGCUCAGCGUUCGUGAAAUUCAUAUCUUCUGUAACAAUAAAAAAUACGAUCAGUGACAACAUAGGAGACGAGAAAGGAAAUGUCAAUAAUAAAAGUGAGCUAUGGGCAACCUAAGUAUUUGGGAGUUCUUGAGAGGUCAGCGCCCUCAAGGACUGUUGUGCAGUCAAGGAUGGGAAGUGGGGCAAGGAGAUUAAGAAAGGCUUUGUCGUUGGCGGACAAAGAUUCCUCUGAAUGAUCGGUGAUCCCAUUGGGCUUCUCCGUCCAGUAAAGUGGAAAAAGGGCGGUCCCGUCUCUAAGGGUGAAUGCCUCUGGGUAGGCGGGAUGAACCGCCACACGGAAGUACUUCCGUGCGAAGGAGGACUUCGCGUUACUUUUGUGAGGAUGCAAGCACUUCCGGCCGGCUCGGGCCUUCAAGGAAAUCCAUCCUUUGUUUUUGAUGGACUUGGGGUCGACGUCGUAGAGGUAGAAGAAACCGGUGGGGGAUGGGGCGAUGCCGACAGCGGCGCUUAAGAUUUCAAAACACCGAAUGAAGGCCCAGGCGUUAGGGUGGAGUUGGCAGGGAGCCGCGUUGAUGUCGCGGAGGACGGUUUGGACAAAGGGCGAGAAAGGAAGCCUGAUUCCAAGCUCGCUAAACAUGUAUUCAUACGCAAAGAAAAAAUGGGAUCUCUUUACGUCGCCGUCUGGCUUAUGAAGCCAGGGGCGGUCCUCAGGACUGCAAAUCCAGAUCCUGAGUUUGGCGUUAAACUCAUCGUCAUGAGACAAACCACCCAGGGAGUUCACGAACUGCACGAUGAGAUCGUUAUUCUGGAAAAUAGAAGGUUGGUCUAUAGCCUCGUGAGUGGGGGCUAUUUGGACUGGA
RNAcentral lists this long non-coding RNA (1130 nucleotides) under Lotus japonicus. RNAcentral's name for it is "long non-coding RNA (LJAP_LNC001535)". The record is from RNAcentral. Lineage: Eukaryota; Viridiplantae; Streptophyta; Magnoliopsida; Fabales; Fabaceae.